Molecule: non-coding RNA, 395 nt
Organism: Struthio camelus australis
Lineage: Eukaryota; Metazoa; Chordata; Aves; Struthioniformes; Struthionidae
Source: RefSeq, a predicted model, not a curated record
UUCCCUACUUGUCUUCCCUUUAUACCAAACCAAAGGAAGGGAUGAUCUUCUUCGAAGUGUACAAAUGUGUUCAAAUUCCCUGAAAGAACUGGGGUCUUCUUCCGUGCAGCAGUUUGGCCUUGAGUUGCUUGAAUUGAAAGUUCACCCUGUUUCCGUUCUAGUUUAUUUUGACUUAUUUUCUAAAGUACACCUCUGGGGCAAUCUGCACGGUCCCCUCUUGGCAACGUGGCCUCAGUAGCAACAGCUGAAUUGAUAGAAAUGUGAGUGUAGAGUGUGCACAAAUAGAAUACCCCAAACUGUUGAGAGGGCGCUGGUCCAGAAACUGAUAGUACUGAAGAGGAAACUGGGCUAUGAGUAUGCUUAAAGCUGCAGCACCUGCAUGUCCAGCUGGAGGA